GAUGAACGCUGGCGGUAUGCUUAACACAUGCAAGUCGAACGGUCACUUCGGUGAUAGUGGCGGACGGGUGAGUAACGCGUGAGAAUCUGUCUUCAGGUCGGGGACAACAGUUAGAAAUGACUGCUAAUACCGGAUGUGCCUUUGGGUGAAAGAUUUAUUGCCUGAAAAAGAGCUCGCGUCAGAUUAGCUAGUAGGUGGUGUAAGAGACUACCUAGGCUCCGAUCUGUAGCUGGUCUGAGAGGACGAUCAGCCACACUGGAACUGAGACACGGUCCAGACCCCUACGGGAGGCAGCAGUGGGGAAUUUUCCGCAAUGGGCGAAAGCCUGACGGAGCAAUACCGCGUGAGGGACGAAGGCUUUUGGGUCGUAAACCUCUUUUCUCAAGGAAGAUGAUGACGGUACUUGAGGAAUAAGCAUCGGCUAACUCUGUG
Molecule: ribosomal RNA, 432 nt
Filed under: uncultured bacterium
Lineage: Bacteria
Description: partial 16S ribosomal RNA
Rfam family: Bacterial small subunit ribosomal RNA
Source: RNAcentral